GACGAACGCUGGCGGCGUGCCUAACACAUGCAAGUCGAACGAAAGGUCCGGGUCUUGGGGCGCACGAGGGCGUAACCGGUGGGGAGAUGAACAUGGGGUCAGCAUAACUCCCAGACAGGGGUGCUAAUACCGGAUAGUGUCUUCGGACCAAUGAUUUAUCGCACUUGGAUGUGCACGCGUGGGAUUAGCUCGUUGGUAUGGUAAAAGCCUACCAAGGCGAGGAUUAAUAGCUGGUUAGUGAGAAUGAUCAGCAACACUGAGACUGAGACGCGGCCGCGACUCUUACGGGAGGCAGCAGUGGGGAAUAGUGCACCAUCGGCGGAGUCCUGAGCCAGCACUGCCGCGUGAGUUAUGAAGGUCUUAAGGUUGAAAAGCGCAUUUAGCCGGGAUGAUAAUGACAGUACCGGGAGAAUAAGCUCCGGCUAACUCCGUG
RNAcentral lists this ribosomal RNA (433 nucleotides) under uncultured bacterium. RNAcentral's name for it is "partial 16S ribosomal RNA". It matches the Rfam family "Bacterial small subunit ribosomal RNA", at positions 28 to 507 of the family's 1533-position model. The record is from RNAcentral.